GAGGAAGGGUUAAAACUUAAAACCCUAGUUGAGCCUGUCCUGCCUGGCAACCGGCAAGUUAGGGCAAACCCAAUAUGUCCUUCACCAGACCCCCUUUAAAAACAAUCCUUACGAGAUCAAUCCGACCUCAUUGUUGCGGCGAGGCCUCCCACCACCCCCGCCCCCUUCUCUGCAGCCAGAGGGUUCUGUUUUUGGGGGAAGGGAGCGAUUUUCUGGUAAUUCUUCGUUGCAUUGAAGCAAACACGAAAGGCAUGAUGAAAAUCUUGUGCUAACGCAGCACCAUCUCACGGUGCGAUGAGCGGCACUUUCCACACGAGAUUUCUGACCUUUUAAUAAAAUUUUCAUUUCCCCCCUUACAUCUGUUUGGUUGUUCGGAAAACAGAAAGAAACUGAAACAUAAUCAUGUCAAUGAGCUGGGCUUUCUGACUUCUUGAGGUGCUGAACCGGUGGGUUGAUUUUAGAUCUUUUACGUUUUUUUCAGUAAUAAACACUUUCUUUGGAUAAUUGACGGAAAAAGAAAAAAAAAAAUGAUAGUUGAAGCUAGGGGUGGAGAAGAAAAAAAAAAUUAAAUCGUAAAAUCCAAUUGAAA
Molecule: long non-coding RNA, 589 nt
Organism: Malania oleifera
Lineage: Eukaryota; Viridiplantae; Streptophyta; Magnoliopsida; Santalales; Ximeniaceae
Exons: 2
Source: RefSeq, a predicted model, not a curated record